RNAcentral lists this ribosomal RNA (253 nucleotides) under uncultured bacterium. RNAcentral's name for it is "partial 16S ribosomal RNA". It matches the Rfam family "Bacterial small subunit ribosomal RNA", at positions 524 to 776 of the family's 1533-position model. The record is from RNAcentral.
GACGAACCACACAAACGUUAUUCGGAAUUACUGGGCUUAAAGGGUGCGUAGGCUGCGCGGAAAGUUGGGUGUGAAAUCCCUCGGCUCAACCGAGGAACUGCGCUCAAUACUACCGUGCUCGAGGGAGACAGAGGUAAGCGGAACUUAGGGUGGAGCGGUGAAAUGCGUUGAUAUCCUAAGGAACACCCGUGGCGAAAGCGGCUUACUGGGUCUCUUCUGACGCUGAGGCACGAAAGCUAGGGUAGCGAACGGG